GCACACGCUAGGUCAAUAGAGCAGACGCUUCGUAAGCGCCAGGUUUCGAGUUCAAGUCUCGAGGGUGGCU
Molecule: transfer RNA, 70 nt
Filed under: Chloroflexota bacterium
Lineage: Bacteria; Bacillati; Chloroflexota
Description: Chloroflexi bacterium (anaerobic digester metagenome) tRNA-Thr
Source: RNAcentral